RNAcentral lists this ribosomal RNA (467 nucleotides) under uncultured bacterium. Its description in RNAcentral is "partial 16S ribosomal RNA". It matches the Rfam family "Bacterial small subunit ribosomal RNA", at positions 28 to 507 of the family's 1533-position model. The record is from RNAcentral.
GAUGAACGCUGGCGGCGUGCUUAACACAUGCAAGUCGAACGGAAAGGCCCAAGCUUGCUUGGGUACUCGAGUGGCGAACGGGUGAGUAACACGUGGGUGAUCUGCCCUGCACUUCGGGAUAAGCCUGGGAAACUGGGUCUAAUACCGGAUAGGACCACUUCUUGGAUGUUGUGGUGGAAAGUUUUUUCGGUGUGGGAUGAGCUCGCGGCCUAUCAGCUUGUUGGUGGGGUAAUGGCCUACCAAGGCGUCGACGGGUAGCCGGCCUGGGAGGGUGUACGGCCACAUUGGGACUGAGGUACGGCCCAGACUCCUACGGGAGGCAGCAGUGGGGAAUAUUGCACAAUGGGCGCAAGCCUGGUGCAGCGACGCCGCGUGGGGGAUGACGGCCUUCGGGUUGUAAACUCCUUUCGCUAGGGACGAAGCGUUUUGUGACGGUACCUGGAGAAGAAGCACCGGCUAACUACGUG